Molecule: ribosomal RNA, 445 nt
Filed under: uncultured bacterium
Lineage: Bacteria
Description: SSU rRNA
Rfam family: Bacterial small subunit ribosomal RNA
Source: RNAcentral
AGAGCGAACGCUGGCGGCAGGCCUAACACAUGCAAGUCGAACGGAUCCUUCGGGAUUAGUGGCGGACGGGUGAGUAACACGUGGGAACGUGCCCUUUGGUUCGGAACAACUCAGGGAAACUUGAGCUAAUACCGGAUGUGCCCUUCGGGGGAAAGAUUUAUCGCCAUUGGAGCGGCCCGCGUCUGAUUAGCUAGUUGGUGAGGUAAAGGCUCACCAAGGCUACGAUCAGUAGCUGGUCUGAGAGGAUGAUCAGCCACACUGGGACUGAGACACGGCCCAGACUCCUACGGGAGGCAGCAGUGGGAAUCUUGGACAAUGGGCGCAAGCCUGAUCCAGCCAUGCCGCGUGAGUGAUGAAGGCCUUAGGGUUGUAAAGCUCUUUCGGACGGGACGAUAAUGACGGUACCCGUAGAAGAACGCCCGGCUAACUUCGUGCCAGCAGCCGC